CAGUAGCCACGGGAAUACGUAGGUGGCAAGCGUUGUCCGGAAUUAUUGGGCGUAAAGGGCUCGCAGGCGGUUUCUUAAGUCUGAUGUGAGAGCCCCCGGCUCAACCGGGGAGGGUCAUUGGAAACUGGGAAACUUGAGUGCAGAAGAGGAGAGUGGAAUUCCACGUGUAGCGGUGAAAUGCGUAGAGAUGUGGAGGAACACCAGUGGCGAAGGCGACUCUCUGGUCUGUAACUGACGCUGAGGAGCGAAAGCGUGGGGAGCGAACAGGAUUAGAGACCCGCGUAGUCCCUGUCUCUUAUAC
Molecule: ribosomal RNA, 301 nt
Filed under: uncultured bacterium
Lineage: Bacteria
Description: partial 16S ribosomal RNA
Rfam family: Bacterial small subunit ribosomal RNA
Source: RNAcentral